GGCCCCGGCCCCGGUCCUGGCCCCGGUCCCGGUCCCGGCCCCGGCUCCAGUCGUGGCCCCGGCCCCGGCCCCGGCC
Molecule: microRNA precursor, 76 nt
Filed under: Chlorocebus sabaeus (green monkey)
Lineage: Eukaryota; Metazoa; Chordata; Mammalia; Primates; Cercopithecidae
Description: miRNA (ENSCSAG00000022327.1)
Source: RNAcentral